AAUAGGUGCUUCUGUGUCUUUUCUAUGCCAAAAGAUAACCCUAAGGUUCGCACAAAUCUAUUUAUAAUCUAUGAAAAAUUACAGAAAACAGGUCUAAGCCCAACUACAACACUCAGCGUUGGUUUCAUCGCUCAGCUGUAGGUGCGGCACUCAAGUGGGACGCUCAACGUUCACGUCCAGGUAUUUGGUAGUGCUAUCCAAAUCAGACGCCCAAGCCUUACAUGACCUUCAAUUCUCACUCGGGCGUCCUUCCUGCGACGCUUGGGCGUGAUUUUACUUGGACCGGGUCCUGUUUCUGCUCUGUUUUGAUUCUUUUGNACCGGGCCGCACUCU
RNAcentral lists this long non-coding RNA (333 nucleotides) under Vigna radiata. RNAcentral describes it as "long non-coding RNA (VRAD_LNC008224)". Lineage: Eukaryota; Viridiplantae; Streptophyta; Magnoliopsida; Fabales; Fabaceae. The record is from RNAcentral.